UUCUGCAUUUUAGCCACCAGCAUGAUUUACCCAGCCCUGAAACAGAUCUGAUGAGCCAGCCCCUGAAGGUGCCUGUCUCUUUUAUGCACUACAGAAAGAGCCCAGACCAGAAGGUCAGGCUAAAUGCUUCAUUUCAGACAAACCUCUCAGCCUCUUCCACAUUUGCUGCCACUCCUGUCACAAAAUCAGCAGUCAAGGAUGUAGCAACUAAAAGCCUGAAGACCACGAGAGAGAUGAAAGCAGGUACCAGCAAGAUUUUUACCUUAUAACCUCAAAUCCCAUGUCUAAAUCGAAAGAAAGUGGUAAAGUUCCUGAUAUUUUGCUAAAGUAUAGAGAUUUUGAAAAUAAACCAUGCAUGGGCAUGGAGUUUCUACCAGCCUUACUAUGUUUUAUCCACAAUAUGCAAUGUCUGUAACCUGAUCUAGAAGUUCCAGACUCAUGAAAUCAGGAACUUAGGAACAUGAAGCAUCAGAAGCAUACAUCACCACCACUAGGAGUGCUCCCGAGUUCCUGCACCUUCCUGUAGGCACGCAUGCAUGCUGUCUUUGGAGUGAUACCUGGACAUGCACCAUUCCUCCCACCCCGCACUCCAGUUCCAAUGAGGAAAUCCAGACAGGAACUGCACCAUAUCCCCCACAGCACAAUGUCAAGACACUGCUAUUCUUCCUUCACCACGUCUGCCAUGUUGCUCCUUAUUCUUUUCUGGCCAGCAAGAGGCUGUUACAGACUCUCAACCCUCUUGGGACUUGAGCAGUAACAUGGAUUGCUGCCCAAACUUUCCAGACAUUUAGAUGUUGCAUGGCUUAGUUUUGAAGAUCCUGAAGUAAGACUGCCAUACAUAAGGUCAUACAAAAUACCUCGUAUCCUUGGAAAGUUUCAUCCCAGUCCUACUACCUGAAAAUUAAAUUAUAUUAACUAACUCCUGUUAUCACUACAGCACUUCCAUCCAAUUGUUGCCAAUUGUUGUCAGUUGUUGCAUUUUUUUAGUUUGGAUUUCUACACUUACAGAGAGACAAACAAAUUCAGGUAUUGUAAGGGUAGAAGCAAGAUUUUAAGAUUCAUUUAAGCAAGCCACGAGAGCAGCAUUCUACAAAAACUCUCCUGAGAAAUGAAUAGGAUAAUAUAGAAAUGUGAUAUGUCAUUAAUAAAUUAAAAAAAAAACACUUGAGAAUUGAAAUUUUAAAUUAGUUUAAGGAAAUAAUGCAUAAACCCAAAGAUUAGCAGAGCAGAACUAAACUAAUAUAGAAAAAUCAAUUGCUGCAUCGCAAAAUAGAAGAGAAAAUUGGUUUACAGUCUUCAAUCAUAAAAACCCCUCAGCUGAUUAGGAACAAUUCUCAAAGAAGCUCAAAGUAUUUUCUGAAAGAACUACAAAAAAAAAAAAAAAAAACAAA
Pezoporus occidentalis (night parrot) is the source of this 1391-nucleotide long non-coding RNA. RefSeq lists it as uncharacterized. The transcript is spliced from 2 exons. The record is from RefSeq and is a predicted model, not a curated record. NCBI's taxonomy places the organism in Eukaryota, Metazoa, Chordata, Aves, Psittaciformes, Psittacidae.